UAUUCUGCCCCACGGGGAAGGAUGAGAAGCUUCGACCAAGGUUCGACUCGAGCGAANNAGAACGUUGCCGCAGGCAAUGGCCCGAAGGCGAGGCGCUUUAGCGCCGAGUAAUCCUUCCCCCACCACUG
This 128-nucleotide small RNA is filed under the name Klebsiella pneumoniae. RNAcentral's name for it is "RtT sRNA". It matches the Rfam family "RtT RNA". From Rfam's summary of the family: This family represents a bacterial cis-regulatory element known as RtT RNA. The exact function of RtT is unknown although it is thought that it may be involved in changing the cellular response in relation to amino acid starvation. Lineage: Bacteria; Pseudomonadati; Pseudomonadota; Gammaproteobacteria; Enterobacterales; Enterobacteriaceae. The record is from RNAcentral.